RNAcentral lists this unclassified non-coding RNA (418 nucleotides) under plant metagenome. RNAcentral describes it as "partial contains 5.8S ribosomal RNA, internal transcribed spacer 2, and large subunit ribosomal RNA". The stretch from base 1 to 105 matches the Rfam family "5.8S ribosomal RNA", at positions 50 to 154 of the family's 154-position model. The record is from RNAcentral.
AAAGUGCGAUAACUAGUGUGAAUUGCAGAAUUCUGUGAAUCAUCGAACUCUUGAACGCAUCCUGCACCUUGAGGCUAUCCUCGAGGUACACUUGUUUGAGUGGCGACAAAUAAUUCUCUAAAUAAACUUACUUGCUUGCGCAGGUAAAGGUAAUUUGGGAUAAUGACAGUGUAGGUAGCUCUUACAAGCUUCCAACUCUGUUGAAAAGAAUAGGCUGAACUUGCUCACUUCAGUGUAAGUUCCAUAAAGGUUUGAGGAAUUUUAUAUUCCACUUAUCCCCUUUUGGUCUUAUGCAUUUCAAUGAAGUAUAUACAAGUCUUUCAGUUCAAAGGAACAAAACAAACUAAAAGGCUCACCCCUUUUAGACAACUCACCUAUUCGCCCUCAAAUCAAGUGGGAUUACCCCCUGAAUUUAAGC